UCUGGGUCUUCCAUGUGGAUGCAGGUUUUGGGCUGUCCUUGACUGCUUUCCCAGGCCACAAGCAGGGACCAGGGUGGGAAGCGAAGUGGCCAGAACACGAA
Long non-coding RNA from Ochotona curzoniae (black-lipped pika), 101 nucleotides. RefSeq lists it as uncharacterized. The transcript is spliced from 3 exons. Lineage: Eukaryota; Metazoa; Chordata; Mammalia; Lagomorpha; Ochotonidae. The record is from RefSeq and is a predicted model, not a curated record.